Molecule: ribosomal RNA, 305 nt
Filed under: uncultured bacterium
Lineage: Bacteria
Description: bacterial SSU rRNA
Rfam family: Bacterial small subunit ribosomal RNA
Source: RNAcentral
UACCUACGGGGGGCAGCAGUAGGGAAUCUUUCACAAUGGGCGAAAGCCUGAUGGAGCAACGCCGCGUGCAGGAUGAAGGCCUUCGGGUUGUAAACUGCUUUUAUAAGCGAGAAAUAUGAUGGUAACUUAUGAAUAAGGAUCGGCUAACUCCGUGCCAGCAGCCGCGGUAAUACGGAGGAUGCGAGCGUUAUCCGGAUUUAUUGGGUUUAAAGGGUGCGUAGGCGGGCUGUUAAGUCAGCGGUAAAAGCCCGGGGCUCAACCCCGGCGAGCCGUUGAAACUGGCUGUCUUGAGAUGUCGAGAGGUA